AGUGAACGCUGGCGGUAGGCCUAACACAUGCAAGUCGAACGGCAGCACAGUAAGAGCUUGCUCUUACGGGUGGCGAGUGGCGGACGGGUGAGGAAUACAUCGGAAUCUACUUUUUCGUGGGGGAUAACGUAGGGAAACUUACGCUAAUACCGCAUACGACCUACCGGUGAAAGCAGGGGAUCUUCGAACCUUUCGCGAUUGAAUGAGCCGAUGUCGGAUUAGCUAGUUGGCGGGGUAAAGGCCUACCAAGGCGACGCUCCGUAGCUGGUCUGAGAGGAUGGUCAGCCACACUAGAACUGAGACACGGUCCAGACUCCUACGGGAGGCAGCAGUGGGGAAUAUUGGACAAUGGGCGCAAGCCUGAUCCAGCCAUACCGCGUGGGUGAAGAAGGCCUUCGGGUUGUAAAGACCUUUUGUUGGGAAAGAAAAGCAGCAGGUUAAUACCCCGCUGUUCUGACGGUACCCAAAGAAUAAGCACCGGCUAACUUCGUG
RNAcentral lists this ribosomal RNA (492 nucleotides) under uncultured bacterium. RNAcentral's name for it is "partial 16S ribosomal RNA". It matches the Rfam family "Bacterial small subunit ribosomal RNA", at positions 29 to 507 of the family's 1533-position model. The record is from RNAcentral.